AUUGAACGCUGGCGGCAUGCCUUACACAUGCAAGUCGAGCGCGAAAGGGGGCAACCCCGAGUAGAGCGGCGGACGGGUGAGUAACGCAUCGGAACGUGCCCAGUAGUGGGGACAACCUCGAGAAAUCGAGGCUAAUACCGCAUACGACCCACGGGUGAAAGCGGGGACCGCAAGGCCUCGCGCUAUUGGAGCGGCCGAUGUCCGAUUAGCUAGUUGGCGGGUAAGAGCCCACAAGGCGACGAUCGGUAGCUGGUCUGAGAGGACGACCAGCCACACUGGGACUGAGACACGGCCCAGGACUCCUACGGGAGGCAGCAGUGGGGAAUUUGGACAAUGGGGCAACCCUGAUCCAGCCAUGCCGCGUGCGGGAAG
This 372-nucleotide ribosomal RNA is filed under the name uncultured bacterium. RNAcentral's name for it is "bacterial SSU rRNA". It matches the Rfam family "Bacterial small subunit ribosomal RNA", at positions 29 to 410 of the family's 1533-position model. The record is from RNAcentral.